GAAGAAGGCCUUCGGGUUGUAAAGCACUUUCAGUCGUGAGGAAGGUAGUGUAGUUAAUAGCUGCAUUAUUUGACGUUAGCGACAGAAGAAGCACCGGCUAACUCCGUGCCAGCAGCCGCGGUAAUACGGAGGGUGCGAGCGUUAAUCGGAAUUACUGGGCGUAAAGCGCAUGCAGGUGGUUUGUUAAGUCAGAUGUGAAAGCCCGGGGCUCAACCUCGGAAUUGCAUUUGAAACUGGCAGACUAGAGUACUGUAGAGGGGGGUAGAAUUUCAGGUGUAGCGGUGAAAUGCGUAGAGAUCUGAAGGAAUACCGGUGGCGAAGGCGGCCCCCUGGACAGAUACUGACACUCAGAUGCGAAAGCGUGGGGAGCAAACAGGAUUAGAUACCCUGGUAGUCCACGCCGUAAACGAUGUCUACUUGGAGGUUGUGGCCUUGAGCCGUGGCUUUCGGAGCUAACGCGUUAAGUAGACCGCCUGGGGAGUACGGUCGCAAGAUUAAAACUCAAAUGAAUUGACGGGGGCCCGCACAAGCGGUGGAGCAUGUGGUUUAAUUCGAUGCAACGCGAAGAACCUUACCUACUCUUGACAUCCAGAGAACUUUCCAGAGAUGGAUUGGUGCCUUCGGGAACUCUGAGACAGGUGCUGCAUGGCUGUCGUCAGCUCGUGUUGUGAAAUGUUGGGUUAAGUCCCGCAACGAGCGCAACCCUUAUCCUUGUUUGCCAGCGAGUAAUGUCGGGAACUCCAGGGAGACUGCCGGUGAUAA
RNAcentral lists this ribosomal RNA (762 nucleotides) under Vibrio parahaemolyticus. RNAcentral's name for it is "bacterial SSU rRNA". It matches the Rfam family "Bacterial small subunit ribosomal RNA", at positions 407 to 1161 of the family's 1533-position model. Lineage: Bacteria; Pseudomonadati; Pseudomonadota; Gammaproteobacteria; Vibrionales; Vibrionaceae. The record is from RNAcentral.